Molecule: ribosomal RNA, 601 nt
Filed under: uncultured Planctomyces sp.
Lineage: Bacteria; Pseudomonadati; Planctomycetota; Planctomycetia; Planctomycetales; Planctomycetaceae
Description: bacterial SSU rRNA
Rfam family: Bacterial small subunit ribosomal RNA
Source: RNAcentral
GUGACGUACCCUCAAGUCCGGGAUAGCCACGGGAAACCGUGAUUAAUACCGGAUAAUCUCUCAGAGUAUGGUGCUUUGAGAGCAAAGGUGUGAUUCCGCUGGAGGAGCGGCUUACGUGAUAUUAGGUAGUUGGUGAGGUAACGGCUCACCAAGCCUCAGAUGUCUAGGGGGUGUGAGAGCAUGGCCCCCACCACUGGGACUGAGACACUGCCCAGACACCUACGGGUGGCUGCAGUCGAGAAUCUUCGGCAAUGGACGCAAGUCUGACCGAGCGACGCCGCGUGCGGGAUGAAGGCCCUUGGGUUGUAAACCGCUGUCAGAGGGGAUGAAAUGCGAGAGGGCUAUCCCUCUCGUUUGACAGAGCCUCAGAGGAAGCACGGGCUAAGUACGUGCCAGCAGCCGCGGUAACACGUACUGUGCGAACGUUAUUCGGAAUCACUGGGCUUAAAGGGUGCGUAGGCGGUUUAGUAAGUAGGGUGUGAAAUGCCAGAGCUCAACUUUGGCACGGCGCUCUAAACUGCUAAACUUGAGUGAGAUAGGGGUGUACGGAACUUCCGGUGGAGCGGUGAAAUGCGUUGAUAUCGGAAGGAACACCGGUGGC